GGAAUUGACGGGGAGCACUACAACGGGUGGAGCCUGCGGUUUAAUUGGAUUCCAACGCCGGAAAUCUUACCGGGACCGACAGCAAUAUGAAGGCCAGGCUGAAGACUUUGCCGGAUUAGCUGAGAGGUGGUGCAUGGCCGUCGUCAGUUCGUACUGUGAAGCAUCCUGUUAAGUCAGGCAACGAGCGAGACCCACGCCCACAGUUGCCAGCGUACUCUCCGGAGUGACGGGUACACUGUGGGACCGCCGCUGCUAAAGCGGAGGAAGGAAUGGGCAACGGUAGGUCAGUAUGCCCCGAAUAUCCCGGGCUACACGCGAGCUACAAUGGUUGGUACAAUGGGUAUCUACCCCGAAAGGGGACGGGAAUCUCCUAAAACCAAUCUUAGUUCGGAUUGAGGGCUGCAACUCGCCCUCAUGAAGCUGGAAUCCGUAGUAAUCGCGUUUCAACAGAACGCGGUGAAUACGUCCCUGCUCCUU
This 477-nucleotide ribosomal RNA is filed under the name uncultured Methanosaeta sp. RNAcentral's name for it is "bacterial SSU rRNA". It matches the Rfam family "Archaeal small subunit ribosomal RNA", at positions 861 to 1338 of the family's 1478-position model. Lineage: Archaea; Methanobacteriati; Methanobacteriota; Methanomicrobia; Methanotrichales; Methanotrichaceae. The record is from RNAcentral.